GCCAACGUCCAUACCACGUUGAAUACACCGGUUCUCGUCCGAUCACCAAAGUUAAGCAACGUCGGGCGCGGUCAGUACUUGGAUGGGUGACCGCCUGGGAACACCGCGUGAUGUUGGCU
RNAcentral lists this ribosomal RNA (119 nucleotides) under Zerene cesonia (dogface butterfly). Lineage: Eukaryota; Metazoa; Arthropoda; Insecta; Lepidoptera; Pieridae. The record is from RNAcentral.